RNAcentral lists this ribosomal RNA (250 nucleotides) under uncultured bacterium. RNAcentral describes it as "partial 16S ribosomal RNA". It matches the Rfam family "Bacterial small subunit ribosomal RNA", at positions 524 to 773 of the family's 1533-position model. The record is from RNAcentral.
UACAGAGGGUGCAAGCGUUAAUCGGAAUUACUGGGCGUAAAGCGCAUGUAGGUGGGUAUAUAAGUUUGAUGUGAAAGCCCUGGGCUUAACCUGGGAAUGGCGUUGAAGACUGUAUAGCUAGAGUUUGACAGAGGGUCGUGGAAUUUCCGGUGUAGCGGUGAAAUGCGUAGAGAUCGGAAAGAACACCAGUGGCGAAGGCGGCGACCUGGGUCUAAACUGACACUGAGGUGCGAAAGCGUGGGGAGCAAAC